This 501-nucleotide ribosomal RNA is filed under the name uncultured bacterium. RNAcentral describes it as "partial 16S ribosomal RNA". It matches the Rfam family "Bacterial small subunit ribosomal RNA", at positions 29 to 523 of the family's 1533-position model. The record is from RNAcentral.
AUUGAACGCUGGCGGCAUGCCUUACACAUGCAAGUCGAACGGCAGCACGGGUGCUUGCACCUGGUGGCGAAUGGCGAACGGGUGAGUAAUACAUCGGAACGUACCUUAUCGUGGGGGAUAACGCAGCGAAAGCUGUGCUAAUACCGCAUACGCCCUGAGGGGGAAAGCGGGGGAUCGAAAGACCUCGCGCGAUUAGAGCGGCCGAUGCCUGAUUAGCUUGUUGGUGGGGUAAAAGCCCACCAAGGCGACGAUCAGUAGCUGGUCUGAGAGGACGAUCAGCCAAACUGGGACUGAGACACGGCCCAGACUCCUACGGGAGGCAGCAGUGGGGAAGUUUGGACAAUGGGGGCAACCCUGAUCCAGCAAUGCCGCGUGAGUGAAGAAGGCCUUCGGGUUGUAAAGCUCUUUUGUCAGGGAAGAAACACCGGCUCUAACACAGUCCGGGAAUGACGGUACCUGAAGAAUAAGCACCGGCUAACUACGUGCCAGCAGCCGCUGUAA